ACAGAGAGUUUUGGCGGGACAUCUGUGAGGACAGGAUGUAAAUUGUAAUUUGACCUCAGGUAUCAGGGAAACGGUGAACAAACAGGUUGUGCAUGUACACAACUUGUUUGUUUUUGCUGUUUCCCUGAUGCUUGGGAUUGGAUUGCAAUUUGCAUCUUGUUUUUGCGGAUGUCCUGUUUGAGUUCUCUGUUGAUGCUCACUUUCUCUGUGCAGUUGAGGAGGGGCGGUUCAGUCUGGGGGCCCUCCUGCAUCUUUAAUUUUGCUUUCGGGUCCUGUAAGUUGGUUUGGUUUUGUUUUAUCUUAUUUUGUGUAUUGUUCGUUGAUCUUAAGUAUCAUAUUACUGGUACAAUAUCAUUCCAUGUGCCAUUGUAUCCUUUUCAG
RNAcentral lists this long non-coding RNA (381 nucleotides) under Androctonus crassicauda. Lineage: Eukaryota; Metazoa; Arthropoda; Arachnida; Scorpiones; Buthidae. The record is from RNAcentral.